This is a long non-coding RNA of Mastomys coucha (southern multimammate mouse), 691 nucleotides long. RefSeq lists it as uncharacterized. The transcript has 2 exons. Lineage: Eukaryota; Metazoa; Chordata; Mammalia; Rodentia; Muridae. The record is from RefSeq and is a predicted model, not a curated record.
CAUGCCUGCCUGGAUGCUGCCAUACUUCCACCUUGAUAAAGGACUGAACCUCUGAACCUUGUCCUUUAUAAGAGUUGCCUUGGUCCUGGUGUCAAUCACAGCAAUGACAGCCUAAGUUAGACACCUACUCACCAACAUUGGAGGACACAGCCCUGUUCAUGAUGUCCAGUGCUUCAUUGAACUUGUCCUUGACAGAAGGGUGUGCCAGCACCUGGUCUGAGAACAUGGACUUCCAGCCCAGGUACCACUUGGUGAUCUCCUCGUAAUUGGGACUGUUACUGAGCCAGGAGCACAGCACCUGCCAAAGGACAUAGGACACUGAGCCGCACACACUGGACCACAGCAGUGAGGGCAGAGUAUCCCCAGGGGCCAUUGCUGUAUUGAGCGUCGCUCCUCCCAGCAGCCCACAUUACAGGACACAUGGAGGUUCUCUGAGGAGCGGAGCUGAGAUGAUACUGGGUCUGGACAGCAGUGGGCACCCCACCCUACAUCCCUCCUGGACCACACAUCUCACCUGAAGCCACUUGGGGAAGAAAUGCUUCUCCAGCAAACCCACCAGGCUGGAAACAGAGAUCAUGCCCUCCCAGUCCAUCACCCAGUAGAAGGCGUCCAUGUGCUGCUGGUGGGGGUUGAUGACGAGCUCCCCCAAGCACAUGCCUGCAAGAGAGACAACAAGGUAAACUCUUUAGUC